CUCUAAAGCCUAACUUGUCCAUCUGACUUACUGUCUGAAUCUUCCCAACUUAUGCAUGCCCACUUUUAUUGUUUAAAUUUGUUUCUUUUUUUUUUUUUUUUAAACACAGGGAGACUGCAUUGCUUAUUGAUCCAAAAAAUUCCUGUUCUUCAUCCCGCCAGUGGGUUGCUCUGGUUGUGGGACAUGAACUCGCCCAUCAAUGGUUUGGAAAUCUUGUUACUAUGGAAUGGUGGACUCAUCUUUGGUUAAAUGAAGGUUUUGCAUCCUGGAUUGAAUAUCUGUGUGUAGACCACUGCUUCCCAGAGUAUGAUAUUUGGACUCAGUUUGUUUCUGCUGAUUACACCCGUGCCCAGGAGCUUGACGCCUUAGAUAACAGCCAUCCUAUUGAAUAAUUCAUAUCUGCUUCCUGUCAUAACCCUGAAUCACACUGUCUGCCAGGUCAGUGUGGGCCAUCCAUCUGAGGUUGAUGAGAUAUUUGAUGCUAUAUCAUAUAGCAAAGGUGCAUCUGUCAUCCGAAUGCUGCAUGACUACAUUGGGGAUAAGGACUUUAAGAAAGGAAUGAACAUGUAUUUAACCAAGUUCCAACAAAAGAAUGCUGCCACAGGUAAUCUUUAAUAGCUUGAGAUAGAAAUGGAGAGAAAGUAUUGUCACUCUAUCCAGGCUGGGACAUUUUAUUUUUGUUCUGAAUAUUUAACUCAAGGUCAGGAUCCAUGUAAUAAAUAAAUUAGCCUUAUUUGAA
Molecule: small RNA, 739 nt
Filed under: Pan troglodytes (chimpanzee)
Lineage: Eukaryota; Metazoa; Chordata; Mammalia; Primates; Hominidae
Description: retained intron
Source: RNAcentral